CUAGCAUAUCAAUAAGCGGAGGAAAAGAAACUAACAAGGAUUCCCCUAGUAGCGGCGAGCGAAGCGGGAAGAGCUCAAAUUUAUAAUCUGGCACCUUCGGUGUCCGAGUUGUAAUCUCUAGAAAUGUUUUCCGCGCUGGACCGCACACAAGUCUGUUGGAAUACAGCGGCAUAGUGGUGAGACCCCCGUAUAUGGUGCGGACGCCCAGCGCUUUGUGAUACAUUUUCGAAGAGUCGAGUUGUUUGGGAAUGCAGCUCAAAUUGGGUGGUAAAUUCCAUCUAAAGCUAAAUAUUGGCGAGAGACCGAUAGCGAACAAGUACCGUGAGGGAAAGAUGAAAAGCACUUUGGAAAGAGAGUUAACAGUACGUGAAAUUGUUGGAAGGGAAACGCUUGAAGUCAGACUUGCUUGCCGAGCAAUCGGUUUGCAGGCCAGCAUCAGUUUUCCGGGAUGGAUAAUGGUAGAGAGAAGGUAGCAGUUUCGGCUGUGUUAUAGCUCUCUGCUGGAUACAUCUUGGGGGACUGAGGAACGCAGUGUGCCUUUGGCGGGGGUUUCGACCUCUUCACACUUAGGAUGCUGGUGGAAUGGCUUUAAACGACCCGUCUUGAAACACGGACCAAGGAGUCUAACAUGCUUGCGAGUAUUUGGGUGUCAAACCCGGAUGCGUAAUGAAAGUGAAUGGAGGUGGGAACCGCAAGGUGCACCAUCGACCGAUCUGGAUUUUUAAUGAUGGAUUUGAGUAAGAGCACGUAUGUUGGGACCCGAAAGAUGGUGAACUAUGCCUGAAUAGGGCGAAGCCAGAGGAAACUCUGGUGGAGGCUCGUAGCGGUUCUGACGUGCAAAUCGAUCGUCAAAUUUGGGUAUAGGGGCGAAAGACUAAUCGAACCAUCUAGUAGCUGGUUCCUGCCGAAGUU
This 912-nucleotide ribosomal RNA is filed under the name Rhodotorula mucilaginosa. RNAcentral describes it as "LSU rRNA". It matches the Rfam family "Eukaryotic large subunit ribosomal RNA", at positions 34 to 968 of the family's 3401-position model. The record is from RNAcentral. Lineage: Eukaryota; Fungi; Basidiomycota; Microbotryomycetes; Sporidiobolales; Sporidiobolaceae.